Molecule: long non-coding RNA, 685 nt
Organism: Heteronotia binoei (common prickly gecko)
Lineage: Eukaryota; Metazoa; Chordata; Lepidosauria; Squamata; Gekkonidae
Exons: 3
Source: RefSeq, a predicted model, not a curated record
CUUGUCCUCCUCCGGCAGCGCAGGCUGGAAGGAAGCAGACGAGGCCGCCGUCCCCCUGCGGCGUUUUCCUCCUGCCCUUCCUACUAGGAGUUUGCUUGGGGCGAGUAGGCGGCUCUCCUCUCCCGUUUUCUGCUCACAGCUUGGCUGAGAGCCGGUGGCUGGCCCAGGGAGCUUCUUUACCGGCUGAGGGGGGACUCGAAUUUGGAGUUCUUGGAUGCGAGUUUCAGGGUGUUGCCAACUCCGGUGGAGCACUGGGGGGACCAAAGUACCAUGAGUUUGAUCAUUUUCUGAUCUAAGGAACUUACCCAAACAACUGUCUGCUUCCAUAGCACCAGUAUGAGAAGACAAAUGCCAGAUAUCAUGAACUGCAAGAAGAAGAAGCUACAGAACUCCCUUUUCAUCCCCUGGUGUCCUGUGUGCAGCAGCCCGUACAAGCUGCUCCGGAGGGACUGACUGAAACGGAGCAAAGUGGGCAAAAAGACAAAACACAAGAAGAUGCACAGGGCAAAUUCAGAAGAAAACCAUGAAAUGUUCCCAAGAAUUCCAAAACAGAAUUGAGCUACCAAUAUCAUGAAGCAUCAUCGAUGGUCAGGGACUGUCGUCGUUGUUGUUGAGGCAAGCAGGGUGAAAAAAAAAAGACUACAGAUGAAUAAAAAUUUUAAAGAGAUGUUGGGAAAGCUGAAAA